AAAUUGAAGAGUUUGAUCAUGGCUCAGAUUGAACGCUGGCGGCAGGCCUAACACAUGCAAGUCGAACGGUAGCACAGAGAGCUUGCUCUCGGGUGACGAGUGGCGGACGGGUGAGUAAUGUCUGGGAAACUGCCUGAUGGAGGGGGAUAACUACUGGAAACGGUGGCUAAUACCGCAUAACGUCGCAAGACCAAAGAGGGGGACCUUCGGGCCUCUUGCCAUCAGAUGUGCCCAGAUGGGAUUAGCUUGUUGGUGAGGUAACGGCUCACCAAGGCGACGAUCCCUAGCUGGUCUGAGAGGAUGACCAGCCACACUGGAACUGAGACACGGUCCAGACUCCUACGGGAGGCAGCAGUGGGGAAUAUUGCACAAUGGGCGCAAGCCUGAUGCAGCCAUGCCGCGUGUAUGAAGAAGGCCUUCGGGUUGUAAAGUACUUUCAGCGGGGAGGAAGGUGUUGUGGUUAAUAACCACAGCAAUUGACGUUACCCGCAGAAGAAGCACCGGCUAACUCCGUGCCAGCAGCCGCGGUAAUACGGAGGGUGCAAGCGUUAAUCGGAAUUACUGGGCGUAAAGCGCACGCAGGCGGUCUGUCAAGUCGGAUGUGAAAUCCCCGGGCUCAACCUGGGAACUGCAUUCGAAACUGGCAGGCUUGAGUCUUGUAGAGGGGGGUAGAAUUCCAGGUGUAGCGGUGAAAUGCGUAGAGAUCUGGAGGAAUACCGGUGGCGAAGGCGGCCCCCUGGACAAAGACUGACGCUCAGGUGCGAAAGCGUGGGGAGCAAACAGGAUUAGAUACCCUGGUAGUCCACGCCGUAAACGAUGUCUACUUGGAGGUUGUGCCCUUGAGGCGUGGCUUCCGGAGCUAACGCGUUAAGUAGACCGCCUGGGGAGUACGGCCGCAAGGUUAAAACUCAAAUGAAUUGACGGGGGCCCGCACAAGCGGUGGAGCAUGUGGUUUAAUUCGAUGCAACGCGAAGAACCUUACCUGGUCUUGACAUCCACAGAACUUUCCAGAGAUGGACUGGUGCCUUCGGGAACUGUGAGACAGGUGCUGCAUGGCUGUCGUCAGCUCGUGUUGUGAAAUGUUGGGUUAAGUCCCGCAACGAGCGCAACCCUUAUCCUUUGUUGCCAGCGAUUAGGUCGGGAACUCAAAGGAGACUGCCAGUGAUAAACUGGAGGAAGGUGGGGAUGACGUCAAGUCAUCAUGGCCCUUACGACCAGGGCUACACACGUGCUACAAUGGCGCAUACAAAGAGAAGCGACCUCGCGAGAGCAAGCGGACCUCAUAAAGUGCGUCGUAGUCCGGAUUGGAGUCUGCAACUCGACUCCAUGAAGUCGGAAUCGCUAGUAAUCGUGGAUCAGAAUGCCACGGUGAAUACGUUCCCGGGCCUUGUACACACCGCCCGUCACACCAUGGGAGUGGGUUGCAAAAGAAGUAGGUAGCUUAACCUUCGGGAGGGCGCUUACCACUUUGUGAUUCAUGACUGGGGUGAAGUCGUAACAAGGUAACCGUAGGGGAACCUGCGGUUGGAUCACCUCCUUACCUUAAAGAAGC
This 1552-nucleotide ribosomal RNA is filed under the name Salmonella enterica subsp. enterica serovar Mbandaka. RNAcentral's name for it is "bacterial SSU rRNA". It matches the Rfam family "Bacterial small subunit ribosomal RNA". Lineage: Bacteria; Pseudomonadati; Pseudomonadota; Gammaproteobacteria; Enterobacterales; Enterobacteriaceae. The record is from RNAcentral.